This 190-nucleotide small nuclear RNA is filed under the name Xenopus tropicalis (tropical clawed frog). Its description in RNAcentral is "U2 spliceosomal RNA (ENSXETG00000042672.1)". It matches the Rfam family "U2 spliceosomal RNA". From Rfam's summary of the family: U2 is a small nuclear RNA (snRNA) component of the spliceosome (involved in pre-mRNA splicing). Complementary binding between U2 snRNA (in an area lying towards the 5' end but 3' to hairpin I) and the branchpoint sequence (BPS) of the intron results the bulging out of an unpaired adenosine, on the BPS, which initiates a nucleophilic attack at the intronic 5' splice site, thus starting the first of two transesterification reactions that mediate splicing. Lineage: Eukaryota; Metazoa; Chordata; Amphibia; Anura; Pipidae. The record is from Rfam by way of RNAcentral.
UACGCUUCUCGGCCUUUUGGCUAAGAUCAGUGUAGUAUUCUGUUCUUAUCAGUUUAAUAAUCUGAUACGUCCCCAUCUGGGACCAUAUAUUAAAUGGAUUUUUUGAACAGGGAGAUGGAAGAAGAGCUUGCCCUGUCCAUCUCCACGCAUCGACCUGGUAUUGCAGUACCUCCAGAGCGGUGCACACUCU